CUGGAGUGGACUCUAAUUAUCUUCGUGGAUACUCCUUCCCUUUAUCAAGUUAAUAAUCCAAUCGCAGAGUAGGAUACAAAGCUGUAUCCAUGGAACAUCAAAAAAAAGACUUCUGAAUAUAAAAGUUACACUACUAGUUUUAUGAGCCAACCCAAAGAUCGAGCUAAAGAGACUGUAGAUAUGUUUGGUGCUUCGUUUAUUUUAUAAUUAGAAGAUUUUGGAUUUUAGUGACUUUCAUUUUCAGUUCAUCUACUUUGAGAAAUAAGUGUCAAUAUUCGCUCGUCUUCUUUCUCCCAAUAGGUAUGUGAUUUAUCUAUAAAAGACUAAAGACUAUUUUUCUGAACACAAAAAGAUUAAAGAUCUAGAGCACAAAUGGACCGACUUUGUUAAAAUCUGAAGAAGCAAAGUCAAACUAAGUAAGCGCUGACUGAACCAAUCUAUACCUAAAAAUGUCCGUCUCUAUCCCUAUCCCUUUGAAAUUUACGUGCAUGUUCCACUAACGGAUAAUUUCUACUGGUCAACAUUUUGUCAGCCGUUGUUCCACCACGUGAUUAUGCACACAUCCCCAUUAGAAUAUGUUAAUAUAAAACUUCUUAUUAAUAUGGUGAACCAAACAUACUUAUUAUGUUGUAGUUGUUUUCAAGUGUAGGUUGUCAAGAUUACUCACAAAUCCUGUAACUGUGGUAUGCUAGUAAUCCUCAUGUAACUAUAGUAUGCUAGUAAUCCUCUGCAGCUCUCCUACACAUCAACAAUUCAAAAGUAUAUAACAAUCUAUAUUUUCCCCUCUAAUUUCUAAAAACUAAAGAAAAAAAGAUUGUAUAUUCGUGUAACUACUCUUUUUUAAUUAUAGAAGCUUAAUACAAAUUUGGUUUACCAAAUUUUUUUAUACAAUUGGUCAAAACAAAAAAAAACGUUUACACAAACUGAAUAUCAAAUAAUUUGGAUUUGCUCUAUUUUUGUUGGGGAAAAGUUGUCGCCCACUGCACCUGGACGGGGACAACAAUAUCCUCAAGUUCACUGGUUUCGAAAUCGUGACAAAAGUAAUUCAAUCACUUUAACGUCCAAAAGGUCCAUACAACUCAUGCCCUUUUUAUCCACUUCUCUAAAUAGAUUUUUUGAACAAAGGCUUUCAAACUAAGAAACAUAAACUAUUACAAGAUAAAGACUAUUAUAGUCUUAUAAUUGGAUAAAGUUUGCAUGAAACAAAUUUCAUGAAUCAUUGAAUCCCAACCUAUGAAACAACAAAGAUAAAGACUAGAAUAACCAAUAAAACAAUAAAAGACAAUAUCUAGUGAUAAGAACCACAGCCACAACGACUACGUUUCUCUCUCUUUCGAAUAGUCUUCCAUUCUAUAUUUUGGUAUUUGAUAGGAAAUUUUGUCUCUCUUCCACCUCUUAUCAAGCUAAACGAGUUAAAUGGCUCUGUUACAACUUCAUCUACAUCACUUAACACUUCGAACCGAGAAGAACUCUCAAAUACGUAAGGGUUAAAUGAUGUGGUUAAGAGAUCAACAUAUAAAAUUUCACAAAUGAGAGUAGAUUGUGAAUCUACUAAUAUGGGUAAAGUGGUGACAGAGUUUGGCGAAGCAGUGGAGUUCUCCUACUCUAAAAUAGGUUAUUUCAAGUUCAUAUACGAGACCUUCAAUCUUUGUAAAUAUGCUUUCAAAGCUCGGGGCCACUGCAAUUUGGAGUUCCAAUAUCUGACAAUUCUUAAUGAUUUUUCGGGAAAACUUUGAAUCAUUGUAUUACAUGUGAUAUAAGUGUUUUUAAAUGCAUAUGUAAAAGAAAAAGUUUGAUUAUUAGAAUUAUAGAUGUACAAUGAUUAACGAGCUGACCACGUGCUUUUUAUGGUUUGCUCGUUUAUUUAGGAUAUGAUUGAUCAUCUAUACUAUAUC
Molecule: long non-coding RNA, 1895 nt
Filed under: Brassica rapa (field mustard)
Lineage: Eukaryota; Viridiplantae; Streptophyta; Magnoliopsida; Brassicales; Brassicaceae
Description: long non-coding RNA (BRAP_LNC003340)
Source: RNAcentral